This 1314-nucleotide long non-coding RNA is filed under the name Homo sapiens (human). RNAcentral's name for it is "non-protein coding lnc-CALN1-1:2". The record is from RNAcentral. Lineage: Eukaryota; Metazoa; Chordata; Mammalia; Primates; Hominidae.
GCAGAGUUGGCGCGCCAGGGCGUGGAAGCCGCCGGAGGAUCCCGCCUGUCGCAGCGGGGACGCGUGUGGGCCCCUGCUCCCAGGCCACUUCGCGCGCGCGCCCCCCACAUCCUCCUCGGGACACUUGUCCCUGGAUCCUCUACCCCUGGCCGGCCCGAGGCCGCCUUCUCGGGAAGCCCCACCAGCCCCCAAGGGUGUUUUCCCUUGGCUACCUGCGCUGCGAGGAGAGAAGGGAAUUCAGAGAAGGGGUACAAGGGGGGCGUCCCUGGGAGGGGGCGCGACUGGAGGAGACAGAACGGGGAGCGGGUGCCAAAGCGCGGGCCUUUGCUCCGCCUGGGCGCAGUGGGAGCACCAACUGGCAGAGUUGGAAACUUUUCCUCCACGUGGCACCACAGUGCGUGGACGAGCGACCCCGCGCCCGGAUGACCCCUGGGAUUCCCGCCUCGUCUUCCAGCGGGGGACCUAGGGACGCACGGGCGGCUUCAGAUCCGGGAGCGCGAGGCCUAACAGCCGGGGGCCGAACUUGAACCUCGGAGGCGGCCGCGGGCGAGGGGCGGGGCCGAAGGGGCCGGGACCGCCGCCCCAGCUCGAGGACCCGUUAGACCGGCAAACCGCAGUCCCUGCCCCGCGGGCUUCCUUUACUUUUUGGGAGUGGGGGGCGGUUUCCCUGCUUUUUCCACCACAGCCCCUCCUCCCGCCGCAAUGUGGCUGAUGCUCAUAAAAAGUUGUAUUAAAGAGCUGACUGCAGCCGAGAAUCGAUCAACAAAAGCGACCAGCCUCUCUGGGUCUAUCCACGGCCUUCUCAACAGAUGACUUCAAGUUGAUUUCGUGCUUUAUUUCUUAAGAAUAGUGACUAACCUAAGGGAUCUGAUUCAAUUUAUUAGGAACACAGUGCCACCUUCCAAAAUUACUUACCUAAGAGGACUGAGCCUGCUGUCCCUGGAGCAGUUAGCUAAAACAGUGCCUCAGUACGGAGCGUACCUGUGUUAACUUCUAGAGUGCUGUUUCCGGCAGCUGCUGAAAUCCACGCUGAGGUUAUCAAGCUCAUCCUACAAAAUAAAGUGUCUCUGAUGAAUGACACAUUGAUCAACCCAUAUUCUUCAGACUCUACCAUGUGAAGCCAAUGAAAGAUGCCUGCUGGUGACCAAAUGAUGUUCAUGUAAAAUGGCCAUUCUGGCAAAUUUAAUAAGCUUUAGAUUUAUUUUAAAAACCAACCAGUAUUUCUAUCCCUUCUCAAGGCAAUGUUUUCUAUUUGAGGUUUCACUUGACAUGACCAGGUAGGAAAAUUGAUGAAUAGUCAUAAGAAGAAACUUU